AUCAUCAACGCUGUCCACGUACUAGGCUCAUCCAGAAUGAAUAAAUCGGACCCCCGGCGAGAACAGCGAGUGGUGAUGUACAUCGGCAGUGGCGUUUGUGCUGAAGGUCGAGAUUUCAUCUUCUUCGUUGGAUUAUACUCGGCAGAAACAUUCACAGGAUGAACAAGAAAUCAGUGAAGAGAGAUAGAUCUAGACAAGAAAUCAGUGAAGAGAAAUAGAUCAUCUUCAUCACCUGGGUUGCAUGCGGUCGAUCGGACACCAGCAAGGCACAUGGCGACGCAGCUUCAUCUCCGGCGUGCAGCGUGCAUGGUGAUGGUGAUUGACGAGGAGAAACACACACAAGGAAGCACUGAGAUAUGGUGAUGAUGGACGGUGGUGGCGACGAAGUCUGGAAUCUCCGGCAUGACUUUUCUUCUUCCUCCGUUGCAUGCAAUGGAUGGACUCGUUCCUGGUUACUUCGAUGGACAACGCGACGAUGGUUGACACCGGCGAUCUCCGGCUGGGCCUCCUCUGGCGCGUGGCGACGGCGGACGAGCCGAGGAUGUCUGAUAUGCUCGUCAUAUCCUCAUUUCCUCUCCUUCAUCGCUAAUAGUCAAGGGUUCAGCCUGAGACCACAGCCUCCAAGCCUAGGACUCGGAGUUGAACGAGCUUGCGGCGGCCGAGGAGGAAUCGGACGAUGUUGCUGGUGGAAACCUCAUGCGGAGCAAGGCUUCACCGACUAACUCCCAUUUCUACCUCUUUGCUAUGGAGACCGGUUCGAAUUCCACUAAGAAAUCGACCAGAGGAAGGCUGAAGAAGGUUAUCGAUCUGGCGGAGGAUGUUACUGAGGUUUCGGAGUUGAACGAGGUUGUGGCGGCCAAGGAGGAAUUGGACAAUGUUGCUGGUGGAAACCUCAUGUGGAGCAAGGCUUCACUGCCUGAGCGGAAACGGAUCUGGAAGAGGAAGCGAAGCAGCGUUGGCCUCACCGCUACCAGAAGGGCACAGAAAUCAAAUGGUGGAAUUAGGAGUAUAACUAAGUAAAUUUCCUCUGCUGCCAAGAUGAAUCUGGUGGGGUACUUCAGGCUAAGAGACAUUUUACAGCAGCAAAAGUUGAUGGCCUGGUUUAUAAGCUUGGGGGUGAUGCUUAUGUUAAGAUGGCCCUCCCCGGAUCCUCCCAAUGAUGGCGCUUAGAGGAGAUGAAUUAUUGUUGCACCAAUUGUUGAAAUGGGGCCUUCACCCAAAUGAAUCUGACAACAAUGGGAGAACAGCUCUUGAAUGUGAACUCCACUGCUGAAUUUUUUUAAACUGUGUGGCUGAGUGCCACAUUUCAAUCAAUUUCUUUUGCUUUUCCAUUUUCCACCCUUCAGCAUAUAGCAGUAUCUAAAGGACAUGAGAAUUGUGUACUUCUGCUGGACUUUGGGGCCGUUCCCAACAUUAGAGGAAUACAAAUACAUCACGAGAAUGAGGUUGACUUACAUUAGUUCAUCUGUGGCAUCCCAUCUUAGGAAUACAAAUACAAAUACUUGUUCGUGAUAUCCCAUGGUCUCAAGAAGAAUCAUAAGCUGGUGGCAAAAUUCUUUACAAGUUAUUAUGCAUAAAGCUAUUUAUCUCAUCAGAUCAUAUACCGGUCAGGUGAUGUUCAGAGACUGGUGGUAAGUAUCUGAUAGACCUUUUUGUGAUUCGUGAAAGAUAAAUAUGCCAAACUAAAGCAAGCGAGUAAAACAGAUCAUCCCGUUGGACUCAGUGUAAGAACUCUCCCCCUCACUCAUUCCCUUUUUCUUUAUCUUUAUAUGUAUUCCCUUCCAAAGUAAGUUUCUGCUCCACGAAUACUGUUUUUAUUUUGUAAUUAAUUAAAUAUGGAAAGGGUUGCUUGCUCUAGUUUGUUGUCUUUUGCGUUAGCUUGUCCGCCACUAUUACCUCACACUGUCCUUUUCAAUAUUAUUGCCAGGUGAAUGCUGUAAAGUUUAAUGAUUAAUGAUUAUGCUACUGUAGUUGUAUCUGCCGGAUAUGAUAAAUCUUUGCGCAUUUGGGACUGCAAAUCUCACAGUACUGAUGAGCCAAUUCAGGUUUUGAUUUGUCAAAAUGAAGGUGAAAGGUGCAUGAAAGAAACAUCUAUUAAUUCACUGAGGAUAAGCCUCAAGAUCCCAAGUACAGUGCAGGCAAAUGCUGAAGUUCCCGAGGAUGAAGAAGACAUUGAUGAAGAAGCUGUAAGAACUGCAUCCAUGUAUCAUAGUUUUUGUCUUUUCUUUUUAGAUUAGAUUGACUUGUGUUAAAUUUUUAACUGUAUACUCAUGAUGGAUUCUUUUCAAGUAUAUGAAAUGUCUAUUUUGUA
Long non-coding RNA from Ipomoea nil (Japanese morning glory), 2311 nucleotides. RefSeq lists it as uncharacterized. Lineage: Eukaryota; Viridiplantae; Streptophyta; Magnoliopsida; Solanales; Convolvulaceae. The record is from RefSeq and is a predicted model, not a curated record. The transcript has 9 exons.